CAGCCGCCGCGGUAAUACGUAGGUGGCAAGCGUUGUCCGGAAUUAUUGGGCGUAAAGGGCUCGCAGGCGGUUUCUUAAGUCUGAUGUGAGAGCCCCCGGCUCAACCGGGGAGGGUCAUUGGAAACUGGGAAACUUGAGUGCAGAAGAGGAGAGUGGAAUUCCACGUGUAGCGGUGAAAUGCGUAGAGAUGUGGAGGAACACCAGUGGCGAAGGCGACUCUCUGGUCUGUAACUGACGCUGAGGAGCGAAAGCGUGGGGAGCGAGCAGGAUUAGAUACCCCCGUAGUCCCUGUCUCUUAUAC
Molecule: ribosomal RNA, 301 nt
Filed under: uncultured bacterium
Lineage: Bacteria
Description: partial 16S ribosomal RNA
Rfam family: Bacterial small subunit ribosomal RNA
Source: RNAcentral